This 5181-nucleotide long non-coding RNA is filed under the name Sus scrofa (pig). Its description in RNAcentral is "lncRNA (ENSSSCG00000055185.1)". The record is from RNAcentral. Lineage: Eukaryota; Metazoa; Chordata; Mammalia; Artiodactyla; Suidae.
UAGUAUUUUGUGUGGACAACAGAGUUAGAACACUUGGGAGAGGAAGGCUGCAAAGGAGAUGUUUCAGAGAGAACCUCAGCAGGAAAGAGUAGUUCUCCGUCUUUCAAAUCCCUCUCUCAUCAUCUUGCUGCUGUCGAUGAAAGCUCAGCCUGAGGAGGCAGGUCCCCUAGGGGAGAGGACAUGAGGGUGUAAAUGACCUCAGACCCUUCCCUCAAAGAGGGAGCUGAAGAGGGUCCCCUGUAGGGAAUGCUGCCCCUGUGGGGGCCGCAGAGGGGUUGGGCCUGGGGCAUGGGAUCAGGGCCACCAUCUACCUGCUCUUUUCCCCAUGUGCAGCCUGUUACUUCUGGCCACAGAGAGGUCACUGCCUUGGCCAUUCCCAGAGGUCAGUGGAGCCACUGUGGGACCACUGUGGGCAGCCCGGGUGCAAGCUGGGGGCCUUGCACCUCCUUGGCAGGUUCUGGAGCAAUUAGGAACCUGACUGACAUUUUUUUUCUCAACACUAACUCACUUCCAUCCUGCUUUGCUCUUAUAAGCUGACAAGACUUCAACCCAAAGCAGGAGACUCACGAUGCUGUCAUAAAGUACAUGUGGAGAAGAGCUGAGAGGUAAAUGCAUUUCACUGGAAGUCAAUUUUGUCUGGAAGUUUCCCUGUGGUUGGAAGUUUCUUUGAAAACUCAGUGAUUAUUAAGAUGUCUGUGGUGGAAAGAGCUUGCUGCUGCCUUCCCGCUGCCAGGCCCCGUCUGCUCUGACACUCCUCCGCAGAGCAGCACAAAGGAGGGACAAGGGACACUGAAGGGUGCUGGGGCGCAAAGAGCUCUUGCCGAGGCCAGGCCCUACAAGGCUUGGGGGUGGGCCCAGCCACCUGUGCCAGAGGCCCUUGAGGGUUAUUCCCCACUUCACUGGGAACAUCCCAGACAAUUAUGUGGCUAAAGAAUACAUACAGGCACAGCUGACCUGUUCUCUAGGAGUGGUUCCAGAAUCUGUCUUGGAAGAAGCAGUGCUCUGCUCUGUGGCCUGAGAACCUUUUUAGGGAGCUCUUUGGUCAUGUAAAAGGCAAGGCCAGAGCCUAACUUGGGAGGAAGAGGGUGACGUAAGAGGUCCUGCAGCUGCUCCGCCCUAUGAUGGGGGGCUGUACCCUGGCCCAGGUCAGGGCAAGCGCUCUGGGUGAGCUGUUUUAUUUGGGCCAGUAGAGUUGAAGAAAGCAAGAUGUGGGACUUGGGGAGCAAGGGGAGAAACCCAGUGAACUGCCUUCUGAGAGUGGCCCCAGUGCCUUUUGGUAUGUGUGGGUGUGUGUGAGGCUCUGCCUGAAGAGGCAUCUGCCCUCCACCACGGAACUGUAUUGUCGACAGGCCUUAAAUGCUGUAGAUUCUGAUGUUCCACUUUGAGGCUUAUCUUUUCAGCACUGGCACAUCCUUAGACUGCACUGAGUUCUGAAAUUCUACAGUGUCAGCCUUGGUGUGCCUAAUGACAGAGAGAAUGCCCACAUGUUGGGGAAGUGGAGCAGGAGGCACAGGGAGGGGCCCCAGUGCUGAAGGUCAGCAGGAAGGAGUUCAGAGCAUCUGUGGACUGAGCGGUAAGGAGCAGCCCUGGGGGUACUCGGCUGCCAGCCUUUUCUGUGCUUCACGGCACUACAAAGAGCGAGGACCUGCUAAGAGUCAUGGUCUUGGUGUAGCCACGGAGGAGUUGGCUAAUUCUUCUUUAAACAGAAAAGGCUUUGGUGACCAGGAUGAUGGGAAAAUUAGGAAAGCUUGCAUUUACCUGUAUAUUCCUUCAUUUAGCACUUGAUGCAUUUAGAUAUCUGUUGAACCAUAUAUUGGGGUUCAGGCUCUGUCAAGGAUAUAGUGGAGAAAAAGAUAGGAUGUCUGUUCUGGAGAACCUUCCUCUGGCCAGGGCUAGUGGUGAUGCUGGUGAGGAUGAGGAUGGCUACUCUGUUACUGCUGGUAUAGCAGCCUUAGGUUAUUUGCAGCCUGUAAGUGUAGGAUAGCUCUGGCUAUUGCUCACCACAUCUGUUGGUGUCGCUGUGAUCGGACUCUUGUCCACAGAGUCAGCUGUGGGCUGUGGCAUCCUGAUGAGAAAGAGCAGGGGAAACUGCACUCACUUUUAUUCUGAGAACUCCACAGAGUUAAGAGCAAUGUACUUAUAGGCUAGAAUUGGCAUUUUUAAAGACAGUCUCAACUUUUCUGCCCAGACCAAGAGUUUGAGAACUUGAGCAUCUUUCUGUACACUCCUUUAAUCUUGUAGUCAAGGUGUCUGGCCUGCUGGACUGUGGGGUUCUGCGGUUCAGAAAUCUUCUCCGGAGAGCAGAACAUGAAUGUGUACACCCAGCAGGUCCCAAUCCACCAUUGCUGAAUUAAAAGAUAGAGAACCUACUUCAGAGAGAUUCCUCUCUCUCUACCAGGCAGCUUGAAAUGAGCAGCUGCUGGUGUUCAUGGCCUCCUGAGGAGGAUUUUAGGGCUGGCAGCCUUAGCCUUCCCUUUUUGUCUUAACCUGGGUUGCUAUAACAAAACACCAUGGACAAGGGAGGCUUAAACAACAGAAAUGUAUUCCUCAUAGUUCGGAAGGCUGGAAGUCUAAGGCAAGGUGCUGGCCAAUUCAGUUCCCAGUGAAGGCACUUUACGUUUGCAGACUGUACUCCUCUUGCUGUGCUGUUCCGUGGUGGAAAGAGGACGAGCUAGCUCGCUUGCGUGUCUUCUAAGGAGAUGUAUCCCAUCAAGUGAUCUGGAAUACCAUCACAUUGAAGAUGAAGGCUUUGGAGCUUCUACAUAGGGAUUUUGGCAGGACACAAGCAUGUGUUCCAUAGGUCUCUCUGUAGCCUCUUAUCCUUGCCUUUGGGCCUCUUUGACUCCCUCACCUGAAGACUCACAGGGCCCAGCCGCCCAUGUGCUGUGUUCUGCACUGGGGCUUUGCACUUCAGGAGGACUCUCUUCCUGCUCCCAAAGCUGUGGUCUUAGCCUGCUUGCUCCAGGGAGGAGAUAAUAUUUCCUGGAAAUGAAGUUCUCAGGUCCAGCCUAUACCUUUUGGAAAUUUUAUAUUUUGGUCACUUCGGUCCAAAUUCAGACUCUGCUGGUGUCCUUUUGACUCAGCUCCCUGGUGUCUGUCUCCAGGGUGAGUCCUGUGGCUGCUGCUGCUGAAACAGUGGGGUAGCAGUGAUAUUUCUGAUAAAAACAUGGCCUUGGGAAUGCUGAAGUAGACAGAGUUUUUUGUUCUCAGAGUUUUAUCCUAUCGAAAUGUCAGGGAUGUAAUAAUCCAGAUAGCAUGGGAGAGGUUAGGUUGAAUCUCAAGUUUUAUUUGAGUGUAUCUAUGGAAACAUGUGUGGCAUGUGCCAGUGUUGGGGGAAGAAAUGUGUGUGUGCACGUGUGUGUCUGUGUGUAGAUCCAUGCAUGCGGGGGUCUGUAUUAAAACAUACAAUGCAGUGUAGCUGGGAGAUGAGUGUUUUAAUAAAUCUUAAAAUAUUAAGCUGUAGCUUGUGCACUUGUAAUUGAGAAUAUUUUCUUAACUAUCUUAAUGAGAAAAUAAUUGAAGGAGGGCAAUAAAUCAUAGACUCAAAUCUGUUUUCCUUUGACCAGUACUUUGGCUCGCCCCCCAAAUCUGCUUCCUGGCUGUCCUGCCUCAUCCUCCUGGAUGCUGACAUUCCUGUGUUCCUGUUCCACCACCCUGAGUGCCAACAUUCAUGUGUGCAGAUCACAGACACAGCAGACUGAGCGGGCUGACUCUGGGGCCUCACUCAGGUCUAGGGGGUGGCAGCUGUGCCUUUGCUCUGCUGGGUUCUACAGUCAAACACCUGCUCUCUAUGACUUUUAAAUGUCCAGGGUAAAGAGGCUGGUGCGUUUUCAGGUGUGGCAUUUCUGUGAAUGAGCCAAAAGCAGUUGGGGAGCCACAAACAUGUGUAUAUUAUGGAGCAGUAUGUCACUGCCAGGCCUCGAAGGGUGAUGUUUUCUCACACCCCACAGUUUUAUGAUCCCAUAGCUUUAAAUAUUCAUUUCCGUUGCUCUACAUGAAGACGUAAAUUCAGAUUGUGCUUCCACAAUUCCUGGUGGGUGCCAAACCCCACAGUCCUAACAGCGGCUUCCUUCUUUGGGACAGCAGAGCCGCCUCGUCCCUUGACCACCUGACAAGAGUGACAGUAGCAGGCCCAAGGGCUGGCCUGCAGUCAGUGUCCCUGGUGUCCACCCUUACCUCAGCACAUUCUUCUCCUGUCUCUCUCUCUCCCUGGUGUCACACUUGGUUACUACAUUACGUGUGUAUGUGUCUACUCACCUCCCCCUCUGACCUGGAGCCUGCCACAGCUCCUGCAACUUUCUGGUGGUCAGUACUCAUUUGCUGAAGUAAUGAAUGACUCUCCUAUAUACGAGUUGCUGCUUCAUUGACUGUGUCUUUCACAAGUGCAUUAACCCUGGGCUGUAAAUAAAACAUGUUGCGAAAGACCAAGUAAUGAGGCCCCACUGUCAGGUGAGGUGACAGAGUUACUGGUUUACUCCUCUUCCAUCUUGCAGUCCAGAGCCCGCUUGUCUGUCUGAGGCGAGGCCUGCAGCUAGGGAGCAUAGCACCUCGUCUCCCCACAGCACCAGCCAGGCCAGGAGCAGCGGGAUCAAGCUUACAGAUCCUCCUCAGUGUGUGACCUGAGCUGGCAGUGAAUCUUUUGGCUGCAAGGAAUGGCUUUGCUGCUGACGCUGCUUGUACUUUAUAAUAGAGUGACAUAAGCUGAAUGCAGCUUUAACCUCCCUGGAGAGUCCCCCAGAUUCUUCAGCUUCUUGGUACUUGGACACAUGGUAGAACCGCUGAUAAAGUUGAAUCAUUUCUGACAUGUCCUCAAUCACUGUUGCGGGGAAAGGUCUCAUUUCUGGAGUGAUCAGGGAGUCUGGAUCUGCAGCAGGACCCACAACAUCCCACCGCAAACACUCAACUCAGUCGUCGUGUAUCUCCAUUUAAUUUUAUUAGAAUGACAUCCCUGCACAGUUCCUCUGAGGUCCAGUUAGGGAAGGUGGUCACCGAAUGAGAAAGGAGGCUCAGAUGUGGGGCCAUAGAAUGUUGGAAUGUAUUAUCGUAGGACCUAAUGUUAGAACACCUGUCCAUCCCAGAAUUCCAUAGGCAUUUAUACUCUCCUGUGUUUAUUGUAUUUCUCUAUAAGAACUGAUCACUGGAUAAAUUCUCCUCACCCCAGUGCUACUGCCAGGUUUAACU